CCUACGGGAGGCUGCAGUGAGGAAUAUUGGUCAAUGGGCGGGAGCCUGAACCAGCCAAGUCGCGUGAGGGAAGACGGUCCUAUGGAUUGUAAACCUCUUUAGGCGGGGAGCAAUGCCGGGCACGCGUGCCCGGAGGGAGAGUACCCGCAUAAUAAGCAUCGGCUAACUCCGUCCCAGCAGCCGCGGUAAUACGGAGGAUGCGAGCGUUAUCCGGAUUUAUUGGGUUAAAGGGGUGCGUAGGCGGAUUUUUAAGUCAGCGGGAAAAUGUCGGGGCUCAACCCGGGCCGGCCGUUGAAACUGGGGAUCUUGAGUGGGCGAGAGGUAUGCGGAAUGCGUGGUGUAGCGGUGAAAUGCAUAGAUAUCACGCAGAACUCCGAUUGCGAAGGCAGCAUACCGGCGCCCGACUGACGCUGAGGCACGAAAGCGUGGGGAUCGAACAGGAUUAGAUACCCUUGUAGUC
RNAcentral lists this ribosomal RNA (460 nucleotides) under uncultured bacterium. Its description in RNAcentral is "partial 16S ribosomal RNA". It matches the Rfam family "Bacterial small subunit ribosomal RNA", at positions 338 to 795 of the family's 1533-position model. The record is from RNAcentral.